RNAcentral lists this transfer RNA (78 nucleotides) under Gammaproteobacteria bacterium. RNAcentral describes it as "tRNA-Arg". It matches the Rfam family "tRNA". Rfam says of the family: Transfer RNA (tRNA) molecules are approximately 80 nucleotides in length. Lineage: Bacteria; Pseudomonadati; Pseudomonadota; Gammaproteobacteria. RNAcentral also lists the same sequence under 2 other names. The record is from RNAcentral.
GCGCCCGUAGCUCAGUUGGAUUAGAGUGCUUGGCUACGAACCAAGAGGUCGGGAGUUCGAAUCUCUCCGGGCGCGCCA